CCAGGCUUGAACUGCAGAUGACAUCCUAUGAAAGUAGGCUUCCGCAAGGACAUCUGUAGAGGUGCUGCAUGGCUGUCGUCAGCUCGUGUCGUGAGAUGUUGGGUUAAGUCCCGCAACGAGCGCAACCCUUGUCUUCUGUUGCCAUCAGGUUAUGCUGGGCACUCUGAAGAGACUGCCGGUGACAAACCGGAGGAAGGUGGGGAUGACGUCAAGUCAGCAUGGCCUUUAUGUCUGGGGCCACACACGUGCUACAAUGGCCGGUACAAACCGUUGCAAACUCGCGAGGGUGAGCUAAUCGGAGAAAGCCGGUCUCAGUUCGGAUUGCAGGCUGCAACUCGCCUGCAUGAAGUUGGAAUCGCUAGUAAUCGCGGAUCAGCGUGCCGCGGUGAAUACGUUCCC
This 399-nucleotide ribosomal RNA is filed under the name uncultured bacterium. Its description in RNAcentral is "bacterial SSU rRNA". It matches the Rfam family "Bacterial small subunit ribosomal RNA", at positions 975 to 1375 of the family's 1533-position model. The record is from RNAcentral.